CCUACGGGUGGCAGCAGUGGGGAAUAUUGCGCAAUGGGCGAAAGCCUGAACCAGCCAAGUAGCGUGAAGGAUGACUGCCCUAUGGGUUGUAAACUUCUUUUAUAUGGGAAUAAAAUGUUCCACGUGUGGGAUUUUGUAUGUACCAUAUGAAUAAGGAUCGGCUAACUCCGUGCCAGCAGCCGCGGUAAUACGGAGGAUCCGAGCGUUAUCCGGAUUUAUUGGGUUUAAAGGGAGCGUAGGUGGAUUGUUAAGUCAGUUGUGAAAGUUUGCGGCUCAACCGUAAAAUUGCAGUUGAAACUGGCAGUCGUGAGUACAGUAGAGGUGGGCGGAAUUCGUGGUGUAGCGGUGAAAUGCUUAGAUAUCACGAAGAACUCCGAUUGCGAAGGCAGCUCACUGGACUGCAACUGACACUGAGGCUCGAAAGUGUGGGUAUCAAACAGGAUUAGAUACCCUGGUAGUC
This 460-nucleotide ribosomal RNA is filed under the name uncultured bacterium. RNAcentral's name for it is "partial 16S ribosomal RNA". It matches the Rfam family "Bacterial small subunit ribosomal RNA", at positions 338 to 795 of the family's 1533-position model. The record is from RNAcentral.